RNAcentral lists this ribosomal RNA (492 nucleotides) under uncultured bacterium. Its description in RNAcentral is "partial 16S ribosomal RNA". It matches the Rfam family "Bacterial small subunit ribosomal RNA", at positions 29 to 507 of the family's 1533-position model. The record is from RNAcentral.
AGUGAACGCUGGCGGUAGGCCUAACACAUGCAAGUCGAACGGCAGCACAGUAAGAGCUUGCUCUUACGGGUGGCGAGUGGCGGACGGGUGAGGAAUACAUCGGAAUCUACUUUUUCGUGGGGGAUAACGUAGGGAAACUUACGCUAAUACCGCAUACGACCUACGGGUGAAAGCAGGGGAUCUUCGGACCUUGCGCGUUUGAAUGAGCCGAUGUCGGAUUAGCUAGUUGGCGUGGUAAAGGCCCACCAAGGCGACGAUCCGUAGCUGGUCUGAGAGGAUGAUCAGCCACACUGGAACUGAGACACGGUCCAGACUCCUACGGGAGGCAGCAGUGGGGAAUAUUGGACAAUGGGCGCAAGCCUGAUGCAGCCAUACCGCGUGGGUGAAGAAGGCCUUCGGGUUGUAAAGCCCUUUUGUUGGGAAAGAAAAGCAGCAGGUUAAUACCCCGCUGUUCUGACGGUACCCAAAGAAUAAGCACCGGCUAACUUCGUG